UGCCAGCAGCCGCGGUAAGACAGAGGGUGCAAACGUUGCUCGGAAUUACUGGGCGUAAAGCGCGUGUAGGCUGAUUCGUUAGUCGGGUGUGAAAUCCCUGGGCUCAACCUAGGAACUGCAUCCGAAACUGCGAGUCUUGAGUGUUGGAGAGGGAAGCGGAAUUCCUGGUGUAGAGGUGAAAUUCGUAGAUAUCAGGAGGAACACCGGUGGCGAAGGCGGCUUCCUGGACAAUUACUGACGCUGAGACGCGAAAGCGUGGGGAGCAAACAGGAUUAGAUA
Molecule: ribosomal RNA, 279 nt
Filed under: uncultured bacterium
Lineage: Bacteria
Description: partial 16S ribosomal RNA
Rfam family: Bacterial small subunit ribosomal RNA
Source: RNAcentral